UUACCCUGACGUUGCCGUUUAACUAGGUUCUUAUCAGUGUGAAAACUGGUACUCUAGUCAAUGACUAGAGAAAUUUUCACAUGUAUUUUUACGCUCCGGGCUGGUUCGCGUUGCUUGCAACCGACCCCCAUAGAUGUUCGCGGUCUUGCACCACCGCCGCGCAACGUCGACCCCCA
Molecule: small nuclear RNA, 176 nt
Filed under: Aureococcus anophagefferens
Lineage: Eukaryota; Pelagophyceae; Pelagomonadales; Pelagomonadaceae
Description: U2 spliceosomal RNA
Rfam family: U2 spliceosomal RNA
About the family: U2 is a small nuclear RNA (snRNA) component of the spliceosome (involved in pre-mRNA splicing). Complementary binding between U2 snRNA (in an area lying towards the 5' end but 3' to hairpin I) and the branchpoint sequence (BPS) of the intron results the bulging out of an unpaired adenosine, on the BPS, which initiates a nucleophilic attack at the intronic 5' splice site, thus starting the first of two transesterification reactions that mediate splicing.
Source: Rfam by way of RNAcentral